ACACCAUCCAGGCUGCACUGUUUGCAAGGGCUCCCAUUGUCUCUGGCUGAAUGAAGCUGCCUGCAAGGCACCUGAGAGCCAGAAAACUCCCUGCGUGGACCAUCCCUUUGGUGUGUUGGCAUCUUGAAGGGAACUUGGCUGUGGCUACACACAGCAGGCGCCUGUGGUUGUGUGCUGAAAAGCAUCUCCAUCCUUGCACAGCCUCUUGGCAGGAACUUCAAUGCAGGCGGCACAUGGGUGCAGCACAAAGAGGAUGUUGGCCACAGGACUAAAGACUCAAAGCUGGGCUGUGCGAUGAGAGGCAGGUGGGCAGAGUGGUGUGUAAGGCAGGGGCGGGGGAAAGCUGGUUCUUUCUGGGAACUUAGAUAAGGCCCAAGCCACCAGGCAUGGAGGGAAAGGCACAAGCAUGUUCUGCCGUUUUGAAGAUUUUGUGGGAAAAGGCAGGGGCAUGAAGAGGCUCACUAGCCUGGAAAGCACCAGUGUAGCUUAUUAUGAGACAGGGGGCCACUGGGCAGUGAGCCGCAGAAACUGCUCAUGAUGCAAGGGCUCAGCCAUGGGAAAUGAGAAGCAACAGAAGCAAGUGUCUUCAUUGCUGGAAACAAUGACCCCUAUAAGCAGAGGUGAACAUCCAUUUGCACUGAGCUGAAAAGGCAGUGUGUGUUCAGCAAAUGGCAGAUGCUGGACAGCUCCAUUCAACCCACCUUGAUAAGAUGCCCCUUUGCUUCUGCAUGGCUUGGGCUCACUCAUGGCCUUGGCUUUCUGCUCCUUGUUCACUGAGCCAAGGAGAGAAUCUAUUAUGAUUAUUAGCCGCGCGGAUGUUACUAGCCCAGAGAUGGAAAGAAGACAAAGUCCCUACCAGAGAAGAAUGGCAACUAAGCUGUUGGAUUAUGCCAAAAUGGCAAAACUGACCAGAGAGCGCAGGAAAAAAGAAGACCAAAAACCAAAUAAAGAAUGGGAAAAAUUUAUAAUUUACUUAAGAGACCACUAUAAGCAGAUGAAAACAUUAGCAGGAUUGCAAUAACACUUGUAAUGUAGAAGAUAUUAUGGACAAAAUGGAGAGACAUAAAAUUUGGAUGAUGAAAUAAUAUGCAGUUGAAAAGGUUUAUAAUAGGCCCCAUGGAGGUGGGAAGGUGGGAAGUCUAGAGAUUCAGAGAAAUCUCUAAAUAUGGAUAUGUAAUUACAUAUGGAUAUGUAAUUGUUAUAACUCUACACUUGU
Non-coding RNA from Podarcis lilfordi (Lilford's wall lizard), 1216 nucleotides. Lineage: Eukaryota; Metazoa; Chordata; Lepidosauria; Squamata; Lacertidae. The record is from the annotation of a GenBank genome assembly.